This 847-nucleotide long non-coding RNA is filed under the name Marmota monax (woodchuck). Lineage: Eukaryota; Metazoa; Chordata; Mammalia; Rodentia; Sciuridae. The record is from RNAcentral.
CUUGACACCUAGCCUUAUUGAACUCUACCUUCUCCCAUCAUUAACUCCAGAGCUGAGGGUUCUAUGAUUUCCUAAGUUUACUGAUUUGAGGAUUUCCUUAUCAUUCCUUGUCUGCCUUUUUAACUUUUCAGCACAUUUGAAACCAACUCCCAGUAUUAACAUUUUCUGUCUGAUAUAGCAUGGAUUAUAUUCUUUUUCUUGGUUGAACCCUUACUAACCGAUCUUUGGAGUUUUGUAGAACCAUAUAAUUUACUUCAGAUUGAUUGGUAAGAUGCUGGCCAUUAUGCUUGGGUUCUUCUAAAUGAUAGGAUGGGACAUAUUUUUCUGGGGCCAGUCAAUAUUUUUGAGCAAAAUGUUUCAAUUUCAUUUUGCCUAGGGAACAGAUAAUUUGACUGCCAGUGUUCUCUGCUUAUAGUGAGGGAUGGAAAUCGGACCUUGUUUUUUUCCAGCAUAAUUUUUAAUCUAGGGUAUUAAGCUGGUUUUUGUUUUAUACUAGCCUAGUAUUUAUUUCUGUUUAUAGUAUAGGAUGUCCAUGUUAGGUUAAUAAAGUUUGUUGCUGAAACUAGGUAGAGCUUUAUUUUAGGAAAAAUAACAAUAGAAACAGUGCAGAGGAUAUAUUGAAAUAAUAUUGAAAGCAAGGAAAAUAAUUUGCAGUCUAAGGUCCUAAGAGAUGAAAUUAUCCUGAAUUAAGAAUGCUAGUAGAAGAAAAGGAGAAAUCAUGGAUAUGGAUCACAGAGACAGAGAUUAGAAUUAGAAGACAGCAGAGUAUGAAGGAAGACAGUGAUAUAAAUCAGCAUGACCACAUAGGAGCUAUGUUUUCUUGGAUAAAUCAUAGUCUCUAUGCCUU